AACGCACAUUGCGCCUAUUAGUAUUCUAGUAGGCAUGCCUGUUCGAGCGUCAUUAAGUCCACAUUAAGCCACGUUGCUUAGCGUUGGGAAUUUAUAGAGAUAUAAUUCCUUAAAUUUAGUGGCAGAAGUGAAACACACUCUGAGCGUAGUAAUUUUUAUCUCGCUUUUGCGGUUUGCUCACUUAUCGCCGUUAAACCCCUAAUUUUUAAUGGUUGACCUCGGAUCAGGUAGGAAUACCCGCUGAACUUAA
This 250-nucleotide unclassified non-coding RNA is filed under the name uncultured Xylariales. RNAcentral's name for it is "sequence contains 5.8S rRNA gene, ITS2, 28S rRNA gene". Lineage: Eukaryota; Fungi; Ascomycota; Sordariomycetes; Xylariales. The record is from RNAcentral.